Molecule: long non-coding RNA, 1164 nt
Organism: Gallus gallus (chicken)
Lineage: Eukaryota; Metazoa; Chordata; Aves; Galliformes; Phasianidae
Source: Ensembl
UCUGAAAGUCUUUUCCUUCUGCAGCUCCUGACGCAGAAGGAAAACUGAUUUCAAGGAGCUUCAGUUCAUUCUCCUAGCUGGGCUGCUAGUCACUGCUGUGCUAUUACAAUUUCAGCUCUGUGUUUUGAGCUGCAGUCUUGUGUCAUGUUCGUAUGAUAAAACAAAUGAGGCUUAAUUUGCAUUGUGUUUCGGAGCAGUAUUGCUGUUACGAUGUCGAUCUUGAAGAUCUACGGCUUUUUUUUUCUGAUUAGGUAUCUUAGUACGUAGUUCAGAUAACUUGCAUUAUGAAUUGACUUUAACAGAAGCAAUUCUACCUCUUAUCGGUUUCAGUAGAUGUUAACUGUCUUAUCUACUGGUUACCAGGAAUGCAGUGUCUCCUGGCCUGAUUUUUAUUUUUGUUUCCUUGAAUAAAACGUUUCUAUCCUACUGCAGCAACAUACCAGGGAAAAUAUUCAAUACAUAACAUAUAAAUAUAAGUAUCUAUGUAAAUUUAUGUAAUGUCUUGAACAUUAACUGAAAAAAAGAAAAUGAUUCACUGUGAUAUUCUUUUUUUUUUGUGCUGUAGGCCAAUAGCCUUUACUGAGCCAAUGCCGAGACUGCCAAGAUAACAGUAGGAGUCUGUAAGUGUAUGAAGUAGUGUGUAACUGGGAACUGUUCUACCUUGAUCACAAGUGGGAAAUGAGGAGAGCAAUGGCUGUCAUUAUGAAAGUGGCUCAAAGAAGUAGAAAAAGUGAAGAAUAUUGGUGAAUAUUGGCAGAAUGUGGGGAAAUCACUGGAUUUGGUUUAUUGAUGCGAUAUGCUCAGCACUUCCCAGUGUUGGAGGUUUAUAGUUUCUAUAGAAAAGCAUUGAACGCAAAGUUCAGCUGAAGUUUUUAAUUGUGCACAAAAGCUUCUCAUGCAUUUUGUUACAACUUUUAACUAAGCCUGUACUACUCGUGUUCCCUUCCGUAGAUAAUAUCUUCUAUUAGUUUCAUGUUCAAUAACAAAGCAAGAUUUUUCAGUGUUUUGGUCACAAAUCCCCUUGACUGGUCAGCAAUUUAAAGGUAAUAUUUUCUCUGUUCAUUUUUUGAGAUUUCUGAUUUAAUUUCUUAAAAGUUUAAACUACUUCUUCAUAUCAAGGGGUUAAAUAAUGUUUUUGAUCUUGUCAAUGUACACAAUAAUCUU